UACGUAGGCAGCGAGCGUUGUUCGGAGUUACUGGGCGUAAAGAGUGCGUAGGCGGUUUUCUAAGUUUGGUGUGAAAUCCCUCAGCUUAACUGGGGAACUGCGUCUGAUACUGGAUGGCUUGAGUGCAGGAGAGGAAUGCGGAAUUCCAGGUGUAGCGGUGAAAUGCGUAGAUAUCUGGAGGAACACCGGUGGCGAAGGCGGCAUUCUGGACUGUAACUGACACUGAGGAACGAAAGCCAGGGGAGCAAACGGG
This 253-nucleotide ribosomal RNA is filed under the name uncultured bacterium. RNAcentral describes it as "partial 16S ribosomal RNA". It matches the Rfam family "Bacterial small subunit ribosomal RNA", at positions 524 to 776 of the family's 1533-position model. The record is from RNAcentral.